Molecule: long non-coding RNA, 216 nt
Filed under: Mytilus galloprovincialis (Mediterranean mussel)
Lineage: Eukaryota; Metazoa; Mollusca; Bivalvia; Mytilida; Mytilidae
Source: RNAcentral
GUCUUGUAUUAUUUUAAUUUUAGUUUCUUGUGUACAAUUUGGAAAUUAGUAUGGCGUUCAUUAUCACUGAACUAGUAUAUAUUUGUUUAGGGGCCAGCUGAAGGACGCCUCCGGGUGCGGGAAUUUCUCGCUACAUUGAAGACCUGUUGGUGACCUUCUGCUGUUGUUUUUUAUUUAGUCGGGUUGUUGUCUCUUUGACACAUUCCUCAUUUCCAU